GAAGUGCGAUAAGCAAUGCGAAUUGCAGAAUUCCGCGAAUCAUCAGAUCUUUGAACGCAAAUGGCGCCAGAGGGAUAUCCUUCUGGCAUGUCUGUUUCAGUGUCUGAGAGGUUUCACCAUUAUCUUAAUGUGAUUGAUGAAUGAGUUGCUCCUAGAGUAGCUUAACCUCAUCUCUCAUGAAAGAUGCUAGGGUGGAUCUUUUGGUCCAAUGAAGUGGUCACAUCACUCGCAUGUGAUUUCAUUGGGAUCGCCAAAUUAUCCGCAUGCUCGAGGUACACUCUCUCUUGUGUAGCAGUAGCAAUACUAAUACCAAGACACUGCACACCCUGCAUCUGAGACAGGCAAGAUCACCCGCUGAACUUAA
Molecule: unclassified non-coding RNA, 364 nt
Filed under: uncultured fungus
Lineage: Eukaryota; Fungi
Description: sequence contains ITS1
Rfam family: 5.8S ribosomal RNA (bases 1-105)
Source: RNAcentral